Molecule: long non-coding RNA, 743 nt
Filed under: Gouania willdenowi (blunt-snouted clingfish)
Lineage: Eukaryota; Metazoa; Chordata; Actinopteri; Blenniiformes; Gobiesocidae
Description: lncRNA (ENSGWIG00000013025.1)
Source: RNAcentral
UCUCAAUCAACUUUUACACACUUACUAGCUACUAUUUAUACAAAAGCACUAAUUUGAACAUUUUUGAAGCAGUUUACCAGUUUCGAGACAACUGUGAAGAACAAAAUUAAAUCAAUGGCUCCAAUCACGAAGAACACAAAACGGAAGGCUGAAAAUAAUCAAGAGGAGGAAGGACCUCAGAAGAGAGCCUGCAGGGACAAUGAGGCCCAUGAAGAAAAGAAAUACAGGCCACUCAUCAGAGCCACAAGGUCCUCAUCUAAAGCCCAAGCAGAAGGGUCCAAAAGCUAUGAUUUCAUGAAGGACAUAGCCUUUACUCCCACUCCCUUCUACAGUGAUUCUUUUUCAUUUCCAAGUACGGCAACAAAAGACCAUGUCAUCGAAGUUCAAUUAACAAAAGAUAAAUCAAUCACAAGGAACAAAAAACGGAAAGCUGAAAAAGAUCAAGAGGAGGAAGGACCUCAGAAGAGAGCCUGCAGGGACAAUGGGGCCUAUGAAGAGAAGAAAUACAGGCCACUCAUCAGAGCCACAAGGACCUUACCUAACGUCCCAUACAUAAACUGGUUUACCUCUCCCGACUACAGUGAAUGGCAUUCAGAACCAAUGACAACAACAACAGACCACGUCAUUGAAGUCCAUUUAACAAAGGGUAAGUGUUGUGGUGUUUGGAAUGAAAUGAGACAGAGUCAAGUUGUAGGGUUACUGGUCAGAUGCGGACACAGGGUUUAUUUGGGGCAGACCGGUCU